UACGAAGGGGGCUAGCGUUGCUCGGAAUCACUGGGCGUAAAGCGCACGUAGGCGGGUCGUUAAGUCAGGGGUGAAAUCCUGGAGCUCAACUCCAGAACUGCCCUUGAUACUGGCGAUCUCGAGUUCGGGAGAGGUGAGUGGAACUGCGAGUGUAGAGGUGAAAUUCGUAGAUAUUCGCAAGAACACCAGUGGCGAAGGCGGCUCACUGGCCCGAUACUGACGCUGAGGUGCGAAAGCCAGGGGAGCAAACGGG
RNAcentral lists this ribosomal RNA (253 nucleotides) under uncultured bacterium. Its description in RNAcentral is "partial 16S ribosomal RNA". It matches the Rfam family "Bacterial small subunit ribosomal RNA", at positions 524 to 776 of the family's 1533-position model. The record is from RNAcentral.